RNAcentral lists this ribosomal RNA (301 nucleotides) under uncultured bacterium. RNAcentral describes it as "partial 16S ribosomal RNA". It matches the Rfam family "Bacterial small subunit ribosomal RNA", at positions 509 to 807 of the family's 1533-position model. The record is from RNAcentral.
CAGCAGCCACGGUAACACGUAGGGUGCGAGCGUUAAUCGGAAUUACUGGGCGUAAAGCGUGCGCAGGCGGCUUUGCAAGACAGAUGUGAAAUCCCCGGGCUCAACCUGGGAACUGCAUUUGUGACUGCAAGGCUAGAGUACGGCAGAGGGGGAUGGAAUUCCGCGUGUAGCAGUGAAAUGCGUAGAUAUGCGGAGGAACACCAAUGGCGAAGGCAAUCCCCUGGGCCUGUACUGACGCUCAUGCACGAAAGCGUGGGGAGCAAACAGGAUUAGAGACCCCCGUAGUCCCUGUCUCUUAUAC